GAGGGUAUAGCUCAGUGGCAGAGCACAUGCUUAGCAUGCAUGAGGUCCAGGGUUCAAGCCCCAGUACUGCCA
Molecule: transfer RNA, 72 nt
Filed under: Camelus bactrianus (Bactrian camel)
Lineage: Eukaryota; Metazoa; Chordata; Mammalia; Artiodactyla; Camelidae
Also listed under: 2 other names
Rfam family: tRNA
About the family: Transfer RNA (tRNA) molecules are approximately 80 nucleotides in length. Their secondary structure includes four short double-helical elements and three loops (D, anti-codon, and T loops). Further hydrogen bonds mediate the characteristic L-shaped molecular structure. tRNAs have two regions of fundamental functional importance: the anti-codon, which is responsible for specific mRNA codon recognition, and the 3' end, to which the tRNAs corresponding amino acid is attached (by aminoacyl-tRNA synthetases). tRNAs cope with the degeneracy of the genetic code in two manners: having more than one tRNA (with a specific anti-codon) for a particular amino acid; and 'wobble' base-pairing, i.e. permitting non-standard base-pairing at the 3rd anti-codon position.
Source: Rfam by way of RNAcentral